RNAcentral lists this unclassified non-coding RNA (433 nucleotides) under soil metagenome. Its description in RNAcentral is "partial contains 5.8S ribosomal RNA, internal transcribed spacer 2, and large subunit ribosomal RNA". The stretch from base 1 to 120 matches the Rfam family "5.8S ribosomal RNA", at positions 35 to 154 of the family's 154-position model. The record is from RNAcentral.
GAUGAAGAACGCAGCGAAAUGCGAUACGUAAUGUGAAUUGCAGAAUUCAGUGAAUCAUCGAAUCUUUGAACGCAUAUUGCGCUCUCUGGUAUUCCGGAGAGCAUGCUUGUUUGAGUAUCAGUAAACACCUCAACUUCCAUAUCUUUUUUGAAAUGGGAGUUGGACUUGAGUGAUCCCAACGCUUUUCCUCACCGAAAAGUGGCGGGUUACUUGAAAUGCAGGUGCAGCUGGACUUUUCUCUGAGCUAUAAGCAUAUCUAUUUAGUCUGCCUAAAAAACAGAUUAUUACCUUUGCUGCAGCUAACAUAAAGGAGAUUAGUUCUUGUGCUGACUGAUGCAGGAUUCACAAAGACAGGCUUCGGCCGACUUUGUAAACUCGAUCUCAAAUCAAGUAAGACUACCCGCUGAACUUAAGCAUAUAAAUAAGCGGAGGA